This 876-nucleotide long non-coding RNA is filed under the name Amborella trichopoda. RNAcentral describes it as "long non-coding RNA (ATRI_LNC001851)". Lineage: Eukaryota; Viridiplantae; Streptophyta; Magnoliopsida; Amborellales; Amborellaceae. The record is from RNAcentral.
GCCACUGCUUUCUCUCUCUUCCUUCUUGCUAUUAAACCCGUGUGUGUCAUUCAGUUACUUCAUCAUCGUCCUCAGUGCUCUCUCUCUCUCUCUAACUUCUUCCAACCCACCAUAGUCUUCUCCUUCUCCUCCCUCUUCAUCUACCUUUUCCAAGAAAAUCACUCUCUCUCUCUGCAAUACCUUUCAGACCACUUCUCUUUCUCUAAAGAAUAAAGAUUGAGGAUGGAGGGGGAGCGAGGGAGGAGAGAAGAGAGCGAGAGGAGAGAAGAGAGAGGGAGGAAACCGAAGAAGGAUCCGAGGCCUGAAAUGAUUUUUUGGGUCGUUAUUGUAAUGCUGAUCAUUUCCAUGACGAAGGACAUGAUGCCCGAUUUCCUGAAGGCGGUAGCCGAGAUCGUCAUCGUGCUGCUUUCCCUGGUCUUACUCUCUCUUCGUUAAGCAUUCAUCUCUCUCGAGCUCUUGAUAGUUACUUUCUCUCUCUUCUUCAAGCAUUCAUCUCUCUCUCUUGAUAGUUUCUUUUUCUCUCUUCUUUAAGCAUUCAUCUCUCUCUUUCGGAGGCGAAUAUUCAUGUAAGGCCUUUAUAUCAGUAUUCUAAUGAGGUCUAUAGAUUUGUGCGGAUAUUUUCUGGACGUUACUGUCUCUUACACGCAUCUUUUUCCAGUAGGAGUUCAAAAGUUUCUGGCAUGCGUGUUCUUCCUCUCUCUCACAUGCAUCACUUUCCAGCAUGAGUUCAUCAGUUUCCGGCAUCAGUGUUCUUUCUCUCUCUCUCUUACCUCGUCGUUUUGUUGUUUGUGAUUGGUGUUUUGAAUAUCAGAAGAGAAUAAGGUGUAUGUUGUAAUUUGUAAGGUUCGAUCUAUGGAAUACACAUAAAUUUGCCCA